This 116-nucleotide small RNA is filed under the name unclassified sequences. Its description in RNAcentral is "LOOT RNA". It matches the Rfam family "LOOT RNA". Rfam says of the family: Latescibacteria, OD1/Parcubacteria, OP11, TM7. The record is from Rfam by way of RNAcentral.
CACCUAACCCUGCUGCUUGCAGUAGGUAUGGUGUGAAAUCGCGCAAUACAGUAACCCCGUUAUCAGGGCGUAUUGCGCGUUGCGUAGGGAAACCUGCGUAUGAGCCGCAAGGCUCA